UACGUAGGGGGCAAGCGUUGUCCGGAAUCAUUGGGCGUAAAGAGCGUGUAGGCGGCCUGGAAAGUCUGGUGUGAAAUCUUGGGGCUCAACCCCAAGCGGUCACUGGAUACUCUCAGGCUUGAAUCCGGAAGAGGAGAGUGGAAUUCCUGGUGUAGCGGUGGAAUGCGCAGAUAUCAGGAGGAACACCAACGGCGAAGGCAGCUCUCUGGUACGUGAUUGACGCUGAGACGCGAAAGCGUGGGUAGCAAACAGG
Molecule: ribosomal RNA, 253 nt
Filed under: uncultured bacterium
Lineage: Bacteria
Description: partial 16S ribosomal RNA
Rfam family: Bacterial small subunit ribosomal RNA
Source: RNAcentral